Heterorhabditis bacteriophora is the source of this 46-nucleotide non-coding RNA. The record is from Rfam. Lineage: Eukaryota; Metazoa; Nematoda; Chromadorea; Rhabditida; Heterorhabditidae.
CCAACGGCCCUCUUUAGGGCCACAUAUGUGUAAGAGUACAUCCUGU